UACGGAGGGAGCAAGCGUUGUUCGGAAUCAUUGGGCGUAAAGCGGGUGUAGGCGGCUUGAUAAGUCGGGUGUGAAAUCCCUGGGCCCAACCCAGGAACUGCACUCGAUACUGUCUCGCUAGAGUCCCGGAGAGGGUGGCAGAAUUCCCGGUGUAGAGGUGAAAUUCGUAGAUAUCGGGAGGAAUACCAGUGGCGAAGGCGGCCACCUGGACGGUGACUGACGCUCAGACCCGAAAGUGUGGGGAGCAAACAGG
Molecule: ribosomal RNA, 253 nt
Filed under: uncultured bacterium
Lineage: Bacteria
Description: partial 16S ribosomal RNA
Rfam family: Bacterial small subunit ribosomal RNA
Source: RNAcentral